UAUCUCUGUAGAGUCUGCAUAUCAAUAAGCGGAGGAAAAGAAACUAACAAGGAUUCCCUUAGUAACGGCGAGUGGAAGCGGGAAGAGCUCAAAUUUGAAAUCUUCAAGGUUUUACCUUGACGAAUUGUAGUUUAAAGAAGUGUUUUCUGCUGGAGUUUUCGGUAAAAGUUCUUUGGAAUAGGACAUCAUAGAGGGUGAGAAUCCCGUAUUUGACCAUUUAUUUCAGCUGUGUGAUACACUUUCAAAGAGUCGGAUUGUUUGGGAAUGCAGUCCAAAAUGGGUGGUAAAUUUCAUCUAAAGCUAAAUAUUGGCGAGAGACCGAUAGCGAACAAGUACCGUGAGGGAAAGAUGAAAAGAACUUUGAAAAGAGAGUUAAACAGUACGUGAAAUUGUCAAAAGGGAAGCGUUUGACACCAGUGUUGUUUUCUCGAAAAUCAAUUAAAAAUGGCUUGAUUUUGUGUUGUAUUGACCUUAAAAGCUUUCUUCACUUUUUUCAUGUCUUUUUUAAUGCACUUUUCGUUUAACAAGUCAACAUCAGUUUCUUUUGUUGUAAAAAGGUCAUUGGAAGGUGGCUUUCUUUUCGGAGAAAGUGUUUAUAGCCUUUGACUCCUGCAAUCGGAGAGACUGAGGUCUGCAGCGUAGAUCCUUCUGGAUUAGAUUCAUUUGUGCUAAGUUACAACCGUUUAUAGACAACUUGUUGACUAUAUUCGAUCCUGUAGCUUACUCGCUUAUGUAAUUUUACCUACGCUUAGGAUGUUGACUGAUAUGUAGUCGUA
Molecule: ribosomal RNA, 776 nt
Filed under: uncultured Neocallimastigales
Lineage: Eukaryota; Fungi; Neocallimastigomycota; Neocallimastigomycetes; Neocallimastigales
Description: partial large subunit ribosomal RNA
Rfam family: Eukaryotic large subunit ribosomal RNA
Source: RNAcentral